GGGGGCGUAGCUCAGUUGGGAGAGCNUCUGCUUUGCACGCAGAAGGUCAGCGGUUCAAUUCCGCUCGUCUCCA
RNAcentral lists this transfer RNA (73 nucleotides) under Candidatus Poribacteria bacterium. RNAcentral describes it as "tRNA-Ala". It matches the Rfam family "tRNA". Rfam says of the family: Transfer RNA (tRNA) molecules are approximately 80 nucleotides in length. Their secondary structure includes four short double-helical elements and three loops (D, anti-codon, and T loops). Further hydrogen bonds mediate the characteristic L-shaped molecular structure. tRNAs have two regions of fundamental functional importance: the anti-codon, which is responsible for specific mRNA codon recognition, and the 3' end, to which the tRNAs corresponding amino acid is attached (by aminoacyl-tRNA synthetases). tRNAs cope with the degeneracy of the genetic code in two manners: having more than one tRNA (with a specific anti-codon) for a particular amino acid; and 'wobble' base-pairing, i.e. permitting non-standard base-pairing at the 3rd anti-codon position. Lineage: Bacteria; Candidatus Poribacteria. The record is from RNAcentral.